Molecule: ribosomal RNA, 944 nt
Filed under: uncultured organism
Description: bacterial SSU rRNA
Rfam family: Bacterial small subunit ribosomal RNA
Source: RNAcentral
UUGACGGUACCCUACUAGAAAGGAGCCGCUAACUUCGUGCCAGAAGCGUCGGUAAUACGGGGGCUCCAAGCGUUAUCCGGUGUUAUUGGGCGUAAAGAGUCGUGUAGGUGGUUGGGUAAGUUAUCUUUCAAAUAUCUUUGCUUAACAAAGAGGAGGGGGAUAAUACUGCUCGACUAGAAUUUUCUCAAGGGAGAUCGGAACUGAGGGAGGAGUAGUGAAAUGCGUUGAUACCCUCGGGAACACCAGUGGCGUAGGCGGAUCUCUGGGAGAAGAUUGACACUGAGACACGAAAGCUAGGGGAGCGAAGCAGAUUAGAGACCUGCGUAGUCCUAGCCGUAAACGCAUGCUUGCUAGCUGCAUGAAUCUACCUUCGGGUGGUAUCGUGUGGCGAAGGUAACCCGUUAAGCAAGCCGCCUGGAAAGUACGGCCGCAAGGCUGAAAUCCAAAGGAAUUGGCGGGGAGGCACACAACCAGUGGAACAUGUGGUUUAAUUCGAGACUAACCGAAGAACCUCACCAGGGUUUGACAUGUAGCUGCACGUCUUAAGAAAUUAAGACUCUCUUGAAGGUGCUACACAGGUGCUGCAUGGCUGUCGUCAGCUCGUUCCGUGAGGAGUGCCCUUAAGUGGGACAACGAGCGCAACCCCUAUUACAUGUUAGAAAUGUCAUGUAAGACUGCCUUGCCAUUUGGCGGGGAGGAAGGAGGGGCAGACGUCAAGUCCGCAUGGUCCUUAUGCCCUGGGCUACACACAUGUUACAAUGAGUACGGCAAUGAGUCUGUCGCGAGCACGUAAGUGUAAGCUAAUCUCUUAAAUGUACUCUCAGUGGGGAUUGAGGUCUGCAACUCGACCUCAUGAACACGGAAUUGGUAGUAAUCGCGGGUCAGCUAUACCGCGGUGAUACGUUCUUGCCUCUUGCACACACCGCCCGUCAAACCAGCAAAGU